GAUGUCAGAUUAGCUAGUUGGUGAGGUAAAGGCUUACCAAGGCGACGAUCUGUAGCGGGUCUGAGAGGAUGAUCCGCCACACUGGAACUGAGACACGGUCCAGACUCCUACGGGAGGCAGCAGUGGGGAAUUUUGGACAAUGGGGGCAACCCUGAUCCAGCCAUGCCGCGUGAGUGAAGAAGGCCUUCGGGUUGUAAAGCUCUUUCGGCCGGGAAGAAAUCGCAUGGGCCAAUACCCUGUGUGGAUGACGGUACCGGAAUAAGAAGCACCGGCUAACUACGUGCCAGCAGCCGCGGUAAUACGUAGGGUGCGAGCGUUAAUCGGAAUUACUGGGCGUAAAGCGUGCGCAGGCGGUUUUGUAAGACAGGCGUGAAAUCCCCGGGCUUAACCUGGGAACUGCGUUUGUGACUGCAAGGCUAGAGUACGGCAGAGGGGGGUGGAAUUCCACGUGUAGCAGUGAAAUGCGUAGAGAUGUGGAGGAACACCAAUGGCGAAGGCAGCCCCCUGGGUCGAUACUGACGCUCAUGCACGAAAGCGUGGGUAGCAAACAGGAUUAGAUACCCUGGUAGUCCACGCCCUAAACUAUGUCAACUAGGUGUUGGGUGGGUAAAACCAUUUAGUACCGUAGCUAACGCGUGAAGUUGACCGCCUGGGGAGUACGGCCGCAAGGUUAAAACUCAAAGGAAUUGACGGGGACCCGCACAAGCGGUGGAUGAUGUGGAUUAAUUCGAUGCAACGCGAAAAACCUUACCUACCCUUGACAUGCCAGGAACUUGCCAGAGAUGGCUUGGUGCCCGAAAGGGAGCCUGGACACAGGUGCUGCAUGGCUGUCGUCAGCUCGUGUCGUGAGAUGUUGGGUUAAGUCCCGCAACGAGCGCAACCCUUGUCGUUAAUUGCCAUCAUUUAGUUGGGCACUUUAACGAGACUGCCGGUGACAAACCGGAGGAAGGUGGGGAUGACGUCAAGUCCUCAUGGCCCUUAUGGGUAGGGCUUCACACGUCAUACAAUGGUCGGUACAAAGGGUUGCCAAGCCGCGAGGCGGAGCCAAUCCCAGAAAGCCGAUCGUAGUCCGGAUUGCAGGCUGCAACUCGCCUGCAUGAAGUCGGAAUCGCUAGUAAUCGUGGAUCAGCAUGUCACGGUGAAUACGUUCCCGGGUCUUGUACACACCGCCCGUCACACCAUGGGAGCGGGUUCCGCCAGAAGUAGGUAGCCUAACCGCAAGGGGGGCGCUUACCA
Molecule: ribosomal RNA, 1236 nt
Filed under: metagenome
Description: bacterial SSU rRNA
Rfam family: Bacterial small subunit ribosomal RNA
Source: RNAcentral